GAUGAACGCUAGCGAUAGGCCUAACACAUGCAAGUCGAGGGGCAUCACAUGAAGUAGCAAUACGGAUGGUGGCGACCGGCGCACGGGUGAGUAACACGUAUGCAACCUGCCUUCAACAAGGGGAUAACCCGUUGAAAGACGGACUAAUACCCUAUAACACAGGGGUCCCGCAUGGGAAUAUUUGUUAAAGGACAACCGGUUGAAGAUGGGCAUGCGUUCCAUUAGCUAGUUGGCGGGGUAACGGCCCACCAGGGCAACGAUGGAUAGGGGAACUGAGAGGUUUAUCCCCCACACUGGUACUGAGACACGGACCAGACUCCUACGGGAGGCAGCAGUGAGGAAUAUUGGUCAAUGGACGCAAGUCUGAACCAGCCACGUCGCGUGAAGGAAGACGGCCCUACGGGUUGUAAACUUCUUUUAUACGGGAAUAAAGUGCCCCACGCGUGGGGUUUUGCAUGUACCGUAUGAAUAAGGAUCGGCU
This 481-nucleotide ribosomal RNA is filed under the name uncultured bacterium. RNAcentral's name for it is "bacterial SSU rRNA". It matches the Rfam family "Bacterial small subunit ribosomal RNA", at positions 28 to 498 of the family's 1533-position model. The record is from RNAcentral.